RNAcentral lists this ribosomal RNA (241 nucleotides) under uncultured bacterium. RNAcentral's name for it is "partial 16S ribosomal RNA". It matches the Rfam family "Bacterial small subunit ribosomal RNA", at positions 15 to 252 of the family's 1533-position model. The record is from RNAcentral.
GAUCAUGGCUCAGAUUGAACGCUGGCGGCAGGCUUAACACAUGCAAGUCGAACAGUAACAUAAAGGAGCUUGCUUCUUUGAUGACGAGUGGCGGACGGGUGAGUAAUGCUUGGGAAUCUAGCUUAUGGAGGGGGAUAACUACGGGAAACUGUAGCUAAUACCGCGUAGAAUCGGGAGAUGAAAGUGUGGGACCUUCGGGCCACAUGCCAUAGGAUGAGCCCAAGUGGGAUUAGGUAGUUGG